CCUACGGGAGGCAGCAGUGGGGAAUAUUGGACAAUGGGCGAAAGCCUGAUCCAGCAAUGCCGCGUGCAGGAUGAAGGCCCUCGGGUUGUAAACUGCUUUUGUACGGAACGAAAAGCCUGGGGCUAAUAUCCCCGGGUCAUGACGGUACCGUAAGAAUAAGCACCGGCUAACUACGUGCCAGCAGCCGCGGUAAUACGUAGGGUGCAAGCGUUAAUCGGAAUUACUGGGCGUAAAGCGUGCGCAGGCGGUUUUGUAAGACAGUGGUGAAAUCCCCGGGCUCAACCUGGGAACUGCCAUUGUGACUGCAAAGCUAGAGUGCGGCAGAGGGGGAUGGAAUUCCGCGUGUAGCAGUGAAAUGCGUAGAUAUGCGGAGGAACACCGAUGGCGAAGGCAAUCCCCUGGGCCUGCACUGACGCUCAUGCACGAAAGCGUGGGGAGCAAACAGGAUUAGAUACCCUGGUAGUCCACGCCCUAAACGAUGUCAACUGGUUGUUGGGUCUUAACUGACUCAGUAACGAAGCUAACGCGUGAAGUUGACCGCCUGGGGAGUACGGCCGCAAGGUUGAAACUCAAAUGAAUUGACGG
This 585-nucleotide ribosomal RNA is filed under the name uncultured bacterium. RNAcentral's name for it is "bacterial SSU rRNA". It matches the Rfam family "Bacterial small subunit ribosomal RNA", at positions 338 to 916 of the family's 1533-position model. The record is from RNAcentral.